RNAcentral lists this ribosomal RNA (952 nucleotides) under Arsenophonus endosymbiont of Ornithoica turdi. RNAcentral's name for it is "bacterial SSU rRNA". It matches the Rfam family "Bacterial small subunit ribosomal RNA", at positions 132 to 1061 of the family's 1533-position model. Lineage: Bacteria; Pseudomonadati; Pseudomonadota; Gammaproteobacteria; Enterobacterales; Morganellaceae. The record is from RNAcentral.
AGAGGAGGGGGAUAACUAUUGGAAACGAUAGCUAAUACCGCAUAAAUUCUCUUUUGAGCAAAGCAUGGGAUAAGUUUUUAUUAAAACUUACCAUGUGCCUUUGGAUGAACUCAUAUGAGAUUAGCUAGUAGGUGAGGUAAAGGCUACACCUAGGCUACGAUCUCUAGCUGGUCUGAGAGGAUGACCAGCCACACUGGGACUGAGACACGGCCCAGACUCCUACGGGAGGCAGCAGUGGGGAAUAUUGCACAAUGGGCGAAAGCCUGAUGCAGCCAUGCCGCGUGUAUGAAGAAGGCCUUCGGGUUGUAAAGUACUUUCAGUCGGGAGGAAGGUAAUAGAGGCAAAUAGCUUUUUUUAUUUGACGUUACCGACAGAAGAAGCACCGGCUAACUCCGUGCCAGCAGCCGCGGUAAUACGGAGGGUGCGAGUGUUAAUCGGAAUUACUGGGCGUAAAGGGCACGCAGGCGGUUAAUUAAGUUGGAUGUGAAAUCCCUUGGCUCAACCUAGGAACUGCAUUCAAAACUGAAUAACUAGAGUCUCGUAGAGGGGGGUAGAAUUCCAUGUGUAGCGGUGAAAUGCGUAGAGAUAUGGAGGAAUACCAGUGGCGAAGGCGGCCCCCUGGGCGAAGACUGACGCUCAUGUGCGAAAGCAUGGGGAGCAAACAGGAUUAGAUACCCUGGUAGUCCAUGCCGUAAACAAUGUCAAUUUGGAGGUUGUAGUCUUAGAACUGUAGCUUCCGUAGCUAACGCGUUAAAUUGACCGCCUGGGGAGUACGACCGCAAGGUUAAAACUCAAAUGAAUUGACGGGGGCCCGCACAAGCGGUGGAGCAUGUGGUUUAAUUCGAUGCAACGCGAAGAACCUUACCUACUCUUGACAUCCAUAGAAGUUUAUUGAGAAAUUAACGUGCUUUAGGGAGGUAUGAGACAGCCGGUGCAUGGCUGUUGUCAGCUC